Long non-coding RNA from Equus caballus (horse), 924 nucleotides. The record is from Ensembl. Lineage: Eukaryota; Metazoa; Chordata; Mammalia; Perissodactyla; Equidae.
CCUGAACUGAGAUAUGAAGUAUACUUACUGUUAGUUAAAAAAGGCAUGAAAAUACAUUUCAGGGAGAAGAACUAGCAAAAGCACAAGUGCAGAGGCAUGGAAUAGCAUGGGACACGCCACAAUCAUUAUAGGCAGAUAGUUUUUACUAGACUAUAAAAGAAAUUCAGAACAAGAGGGAGGAGAGACUGGUUAGGUGCAUCUGCUUGGCAGAACCGAUGUCUCACUCCUGCAUGCUAGUUAAAAGGAUGUUUGGAAAAUGCAAUUCGUGGGCUGCCAGCCUCUGUUGUUCAUGAAGGUGUUCUGAGGAUUGGCCGAACAUAUGCAGGCUCAGCAAGAAGAGUGACAUGAUUCAUUAGUGAUGUCUGCUGACCCACAGGGAGGGAGAGUUUGGAUAUGCCUAAAACUCAUUCUUUCAUCCCCAAGCAAAGAUGGGAAGAAGGAAGCAGCUGAGGAGCAGCACCCAGUGAUUGAGACAGAUAAACAGUUUUAGGAGAGUAAGAUCAGAGGAUACUAAGCUGCUAUAGUUGUUGAGCUGCUUGGUCAUAGGAGAAACCAAAGAACUGAGAUAACAAAGGGAGAUGACGAUGGAAGUGGUCCUACCCUGGAACAGAGAUGCCCAAAUUAACUCUCCUCCCCUAAGUUGAGGUUAUUUUGGCACCUGUCUAGUCAAUCUUCAAUUUAUGGGCAGAAUAACAAGCAAAUAAACAUGAAUUAAAUUUGGGCUGGGCCUUCAUUUUAAGCACAUCUGUUCCUGAAAUUUUAUAAAGGAAUAUUAUAUUAAGGAGUCCUUAACCUGAAGAUCUACUGAACUUAAGAGGCUAAUUCACAGAAUAUAAACAUGAAUUUCUAAAAGCAUAAAGCUUAUCUGACCGUUUCAUUUUAUGUGUGGAAUCUGUGACCCAGAGAUAUACUGUGGCUUAUGCA